RNAcentral lists this long non-coding RNA (4269 nucleotides) under Numida meleagris (helmeted guineafowl). RNAcentral's name for it is "lncRNA (ENSNMEG00000016753.1)". Lineage: Eukaryota; Metazoa; Chordata; Aves; Galliformes; Numididae. The record is from RNAcentral.
AUGCAGCAACAAAAGGACCCACUGGGGCUGUUCUUGGCUGUUCUCUCAUCCAGGUGUUGGCUCAACUCAUGGGGCAAUGCUGCAGUGUGGGUGCAGGGCAACAGGGGAUUCGUGCCUUCAUCCACCCACAGUGCCCAUGUUCAUUUCCCACCCUGGAGCUGUCUGGGGAUCAGCCUAAUGCCCAACACAACCAGAGCAGCAGCUGACAGUGCCUUCUGGGGUGAACCUGACAUCAGCUGGCUGCCAUCCCAGCUCUCUGUUUGGACAAGGCAAGCAGGGCUACUCCUGAGAAAUAAACUGAAGAUAAUCUGGGAUGGUUGCAGCUGGGGAAAGCGUGCAAUAAGGAAUUCAAAACUGUCUCAUAUGGAUAAAAAUAGCAUCAGCGAUUGGCAUGUGUGUACAUCAGUGAACCUGGCUCACUGCAAAUUUAAUAAAAUGCUCAUCUGGGUGCUGGAGUAUGCUGCAGUCAUGAGAGGGAGCUGUGCUCCUGCAGAGCUGUGUGUCUGUGCCCUGCAAUGCCGGACAGACACACGGAUGGAACUCACAGCGCUGGCCUCGUCCAAUGCACAGAAACAAAAGUCUGCAGCUCCAAGUGCUCCUGGUGUUCCAGGGCCAAGAACGUACUUUUUGGCUUGGAGAGGGGUUGAAACCAGCAUGGACAACAAAAAGUUUGACUGGGAGGAAAAACAAGACGAAAAUGUGCAGGAAUAGGAGUUCACUUCUGGACACCAAUCAGCCCAACCACUCCACGGCAUGUCCACCUGAGCUCCUUUGCAUGCCUGCUGCUGCCUCGAGUCCUGCCUGGAGUCUCUGGCUGAGAUGAGCGCGCACAGGGAGUGCUGGAGGCCCACAUUGCUAAGUGCAUUUCUGGACUACUCUGGAUUCUGGUCUCCACUGGUUCAGACUGUUAGAAGUGCAGCAUGCAGGCUCUUGCUCAUCGACAGAAAAAAUGCACAGCUAAUGGUGGCUACUGUGCUGAAAGACAGGGCUUUUUUUGCAGCUGAGAAUUUGCUCUACCAAACAGCAUUAUUGUGUUCUUUGUAUCAGUUGUAGCUUCCAUUGAAAAAAAACAGGAGGCAUUGCUUUUGGAGCGACCUAAACAACUUUGGGAGUUCAGUUUUGCCAUGGGGACAAUGCCAGCCAGUCUUUAGGAAGUUUGCCCAGCUGUUUCAUUUCUUAUUCUGAUGCUGGGUUGUGAAGGUUGCCAAAAACUGUUUUCUGAAAAAUGUAUUGAGAAAGGAGAAAUGGAUCUGCUUAAAGAGGCAGCAGCCCAUGAUGGCUCUGCUGCUCUCAUGGCUGCCUGCUGCCCUGCGUGCCCCUGGAGGGCCAUGGGGUCAGCACCCAGCACCGCUGCCAGGGGACUUCCUCUGCUUCAUAAGAGCAUGGGAUAAUCUGAACCAGAACUGUACAGGGCAAGAAGCCGAUUCUAGUGGAAUGAAAAUCUGGAAGGGGAAAUGCUGGCUGAAAAAGAGAAGCAAAAAUCCACUCAAAAAUCCCGGAGGUCUCGGCAUUUCCCGCAACAUCAGAGCACUGUGUCUGAGUCCCUGGCAUAAAUCCUCAAACCUUGCUUUCUGCCUCUGCUUCUAACGGAAAAUUUCUGAAAGUUCUUACUUCCACCUCUGUGUGUGACAGUGGGAGAAUUUUAAAGCCGACAUUUUCUGGGGAGGAAAGCCCUGAGCUGAACUUCUCUCUGUACUGCACUCGAUGCUUAAACGUGCUGCCUUAAUUCAGCAACCUGAACCAGCUUGGUUGUGUUCCAGCUCGUAAACUGCUGCCAAGUUGUUCUCUCUCCUGAGAAUUCCCUUUUGCUCAAACUUUCCUUGUUUUGCACUCAGGUCACUUGGGACGAUGUGAACCACGUGUAAUCCAUUCAUACCAAACAGCUCCCCCAGCUCCCGUGCCCCACGGCUCAUUCACUGCCUUCAUUCUCUGGGCAGCUGCCAGCUCUGCUGUUCUGAGGGCAGUGCUUACAGGAAACUCCCGUGAAAAGGACUUUUGCAAACCGGUGCUGGAAAGGGCUCAAGGAAAAUUUUGAUUGCAACAUUUGGGCUUGCAGCGGAGAGAAGCUUGAAGAUACUGGGUAUUCCUAAGCAACCUCGUGCUGAAGGCUGUGCAGAAACUCUGAGAUCCGUGGUGGCUGUGCAAGGUCAGCCCCAAAGGGAUGGCACUGGGAUGGGCAGUGCCCACAGAGCUGCACAGAGCAAUCUCCUGGGCAUGGGCAGUGACCACCAUAGCAAUGCUGCUCCUGCUGCAUUCCUGGAGCACUGCUAGGAGUUUUACAGCCCAAAGGAGCGUGACAGCUGCCUGGCACCUGUGAGGCCUGUUGGCAAGCCCUGCCCUAAAGGCUCCCAGCCCCAAGCAGGAGGGCAGCUGCUGCCUCUGCCUUUUCCCCCAAUUUCCAAGGGCUGCAAUGCAGUGUGAGCUGAACAUUACUGCCCGGGCCAGCCAAAUGUCACUGCAGCAUGGGAGGACAAACCUCUCCCCCUCUCCAUUACCUCUCUUUACACUCUCGUGAUGCCCAUCCUGCAUCUUUUCUUGUCCCUUUCUCCUUGCUGGAUAAGGAAGCACAGCCCAUGCAUCCCUUUUGCUCUCCAGAGAGGAUGGUCCUGGAAGGGAUGUGUUAAUGUGGUGUUUUUCUGGAGUAAGAAAUGGACUUUACACUCAGACCUUAGGGUCUAUCAAAACCAAGCAAUCCCCAAGGCAGAGGCUGAAUGGAGAUGGUACCAUGGCUGUAGUGCUGGGAGGGACAGGCUCCCAUGUGUUUAAAUUGUAAAGUCCAUUUAUUACCCCAGAAAAACACCCAGAAUUUUUUAAAUUUUAUUUAUUUUAAUUGUAUUUUAUUAUAUAUAUAUGUUUACAUACAAGUUCCUAGUUCUCAUUUGAAAGAUAAAUUGGUCACUUUCUGAGCUCUGAAAGUGAUCCCUCCUCUGAGACCUCUGUUGACUCUGAGUUACAGUAAUACUAAAUAACUUGGGUAUUAGUGCCAAGCUGCAAAUGAGGCUUGCUCUGCUGGGCCAGAUUUCAAACAGAAAUGAGUGUUUCAGGCCCAAAAUUGUGUCUGUGGUCUCAUAAAAAAAAAAGGCAGAGCUCUGCUGGUUCUCCAGUUUUCUAUUUCAUUGCCAUUAAGGGAAUGAUCUCAUCCUGCCCUUUGUUUGCCCUUUGGUUAAGUUUUCCUCCCUGGUAGAAUGUUCAGCAGGCUGUCAGAGUGUGGCUCAGAUUUGGAGACACCAUUGUAACACCCCCAAAUCCCCAGUUGAUCACCAGCAGUUCCUUUACUCACAACCACUUUCCAGCCCCGCUGCAUCUCAUCUCCUCACCAUCCCCAGCUCACAUUUAACCACUGUCCCAGCCAGCAGCUCCCCAGGCUGGCUCUGCUCUGACAGCAGCUAAACCCAAACCAGCUCUGUUUACCUCUGCCUGGGCUGCAAUCAAACACCCCACCUGUGUCCCAACUCCUGCGGUCAUUUCUCCAGCCCCUUUGCUUCCAGCACGUCUGUGAUGUGGAAAUUCACCUGUGGGGUAAACCUUCAAUGAACAGUGCUGCUGCCUGCCAGGCAGGGAUUUCCAGCUGGCGGUUAUGCUGGUGUGAGCAGGGUCACACUGCCUGCACAUGUGAGAUUCCUUCCUUGCCAUCCUGCUGUAGCGUGGUCCUAACACCAGAGCCAUCAGUGGCACUUCCAAGAAAUGAAUGCAACUAGCAGAAAUUGGGCUUGAGAAUGAAAUUCAGGCUGCUUCAUUUAUGGGAAGUUCAGGGAAGCUGCCUGCGUUGUGCCUCUGUAAAUGGGGAUAUUAGCAGGUCUCGGAGCCAGACAUGGAACGUGUGGCUGCAUGGAGCUUGCAGUAUAUCAGGAUGCUCUGUAGACCUUAUGAGCAGAGCUGUCAGGCCAGGACUGGGUUGGAUUCAGCCCUGUGCCCUAAGAAACACAGAUGUGGGGCCAAAAAGUGUGCAUUGAACAACCAAAGGUGACCCCAGACCUACUGAAAUGAGAUGAUAUCUUAUUUUUAACAAGAUGGACCCUCCCCUAAGAAUUGAAGGUCACAAUGAACAUGCUCCGACAUCCCCUAAGUCCUUCACCAAGCCAAAAGCAGAGGCAGCACAUUUGUGAGCACAAAGUAAAUUGCACAACAUGAGGUACCUGAGUUGAGACUUGUACAGUCAUUAUGCCACACCCAUAAGUGUGUUUGUUUAAAACACAUCAGCCCUGACUAUGAAGACUCAUUAGCACAAGAAAAAAUAAAAAUAACAACACACAGUUCUCUUUUUUACUG